UUACAAUGGAGAGUUUGAUCCUGGCUCAGGAUGAACGCUAGCGGCAGGCCUAAUACAUGCAAGUCGGACGGGAUUGGAGAGCUUG
RNAcentral lists this ribosomal RNA (85 nucleotides) under Mucilaginibacter polytrichastri. Its description in RNAcentral is "16S rRNA. Bacterial SSU". It matches the Rfam family "Bacterial small subunit ribosomal RNA", at positions 1 to 82 of the family's 1533-position model. The record is from RNAcentral. Lineage: Bacteria; Pseudomonadati; Bacteroidota; Sphingobacteriia; Sphingobacteriales; Sphingobacteriaceae.